UACGUAGGAGGCAAGCGUUGUCCGGAAUUACUGGGUGUAAAGCGCGUGUAGGCGGCAGGCCAAGUCUGGGGUGAAAUCCCUCGGCUCAACCGAGGACGUGCAUCCGAAACUGCCGAGCUCGAGUAUGGAAGAGGGUCGCGGAAUUCCCGGUGUAGAGGUGAAAUUCGUAGAUAUCGGGAGGAACACCAGUGGCGAAGGCGGCGACCUGGGCCAAUACUGACGCUGAGGUGCGAAAGCGUGGGGAGCAAACAGG
RNAcentral lists this ribosomal RNA (253 nucleotides) under uncultured bacterium. RNAcentral's name for it is "partial 16S ribosomal RNA". It matches the Rfam family "Bacterial small subunit ribosomal RNA", at positions 524 to 776 of the family's 1533-position model. The record is from RNAcentral.